RNAcentral lists this ribosomal RNA (207 nucleotides) under uncultured bacterium. RNAcentral's name for it is "partial 16S ribosomal RNA". It matches the Rfam family "Bacterial small subunit ribosomal RNA", at positions 568 to 774 of the family's 1533-position model. The record is from RNAcentral.
CGUGUAGGCGGCUAAGUAAGUCUGGAGUGAAAGUCCUGCUUUUAAGGUGGGAAUUGCUUUGGAUACUGCAUAGCUAGAGUGCAGGAGAGGUAAGUGGAAUUCCCAGUGUAGCGGUGAAAUGCGUAGAGAUUGGGAGGAACACCAGUGGCGAAGGCGACUUACUGGACUGUAACUGACGCUGAGGCGCGAAAGCGUGGGUAGCAAACA